This 1410-nucleotide ribosomal RNA is filed under the name Triticum aestivum (bread wheat). RNAcentral's name for it is "partial small subunit ribosomal RNA". The record is from RNAcentral. Lineage: Eukaryota; Viridiplantae; Streptophyta; Magnoliopsida; Poales; Poaceae.
AUGGCUGGCGAGGAGCCGACCACGUUCGCGGAGGCCGAGCAAGAGGAGUGCUGGCGCCACGCGAUGCUAGAUGAGCUGGCGUCGAUCAACGACAACGCCACUUGGACACUCACCACACUGCCUGCUGGGCACCGAGCCAUCGGGCUCAAGUGGGUGUUCAAGGUGAAGAAGGACGAGCACUGCGCCAUUGUCAAGCACAAGGCGCGCCUCAUCGCAAAGGGCUACGUGCAGCAUGAGGGGGUGGACUUCGAGGAAGUCUUUGCUCCGGUGGCAAGGCUGGAGUCGGUGCUACUCAUCCUUGUCGUGGCCGCUCACCGCGGGUGGGAGGUACACCACAUGGAUGUCAAGUCGGCGUUUCUCAACGGCGACCUUAACGAGGAGGUGUAUGUCACCCAGCCACCCAGGUUCGUUGCAAAGGGCCAUGAGCAGGGCGUGUAUCGACUACACAAGGCCCUGUAUGGUCUCCGGCAAGCCCCAAGGGCGUGGAACACCAAGCUCGAUGCAAGCCUCGCAUCCCUUGGGUUCUCACGCAGCGCUUCUGAGCACGGUGUGUACUCGCGUGGCACCGCGAACACGCUGCUCAUCGCCGGCAUCUACAUCGACGACCUGGUCAUCGCCGGGGCAGAGCCUGAAGAGGUUCAACGCUUCAAGGGAGAGAUGCAUCGUCUCUUCAGUAUGAGCGACCUCGGGCUGCUCCGGUACUACCUCGGGCUAGAGGUGAACCAGGAGGGUGGUUGCAUCACGAUCACGCAGACGGCCUACGCCACCAAGAUGCUCGAGCGAGCAGGCAUGAAGGACUGUCAUGCCGUGCACGCUCCAAUGGAGGCACGGCUGAAGCUCAGCAAGGAGAGCUCCGAGAAGGCGGUGGAUGCUACACUCUACCGUAGCAUCAUCGGGAGUCUCAGGUACCUCGUGCACACCCGACCGGACAUCACGUUCGUUGUCGGGUACCUGAGUAGGUCCAUGGAAGCCCAGGCAAGCGAUCACCUUGCUGCCGUCAAGCACCUGCUCCGGUACAUCGCGGGUACGCUCACGCAUGGAUGCGUGUACCGUCGUGGCGAUGGCGAGAGGUUGGUCGGGUACAGCGACUCUGACCACGCUGGUGACAUGGACUCCCGGAAGAGCACCUCGGGCAUACUAUUCCUUCUCGGAAAUAGUCCCAUCAGCUGGCAAUCGAUGAGGCAGAAGGUUGUCGUUGUAUCUUCGUGCGAGAAGGAGUACAUCGCGGCAGCUACAGCGGCCUGUCAAGGCAUUUGGCUUGCUCGCCUUCUCGGCGAGAUGCUGAAUCAGGACACCGCCCCUGCGCUCAUCUUCGUCGACAAUAAGUCGGCGAUUUCCCUCUGCAAGAAUCCAGUGCUUCACGACCGCAGCAAGCACAUCGAUCUCCGCUAUCACUUCAUACGUGACUGA